GACGAACGCUGGCGGCGUGCUUAACACAUGCAAGUCGAACGGAAAGGCCCUGCUUGCAGGGUCCUCGAGUGGCGAACGGGUGGGUAACACGUGGGUGAUCUGCCCUGCACUUCGGGAUAAGCUUGGGAAACUGGGUCUAAUACCGGAUAGGAGCCAUCUUUAGUGUGGUGGUUGGAAAGUUUUUUCGGUGUAGGAUGAGCUCGCGGCCUAUCAGCUUGUUGGUGGGGUAAUGGCCUACCAAGGCGGCGACGGGUAGCCGGCCUGAGAGGGUGUACGGCCACAUUGGGACUGAGAUACGGCCCAGACUCCUACGGGAGGCAGCAGUGGGGAAUAUUGCACAAUGGGCGCAAGCCUGAUGCAGCGACGCCGCGUGGGGGAUGAAGGCCUUCGGGUUGUAAACUCCUUUCGCUAGGGACGAAGCUUUGUUGUGACGGUACCUAGAUAAGAAGCACCGGCUAACUACGUG
This 466-nucleotide ribosomal RNA is filed under the name uncultured bacterium. Its description in RNAcentral is "partial 16S ribosomal RNA". It matches the Rfam family "Bacterial small subunit ribosomal RNA", at positions 28 to 507 of the family's 1533-position model. The record is from RNAcentral.